Molecule: ribosomal RNA, 581 nt
Filed under: uncultured Rhizophagus
Lineage: Eukaryota; Fungi; Glomeromycota; Glomeromycetes; Glomerales; Glomeraceae
Description: LSU rRNA
Rfam family: Eukaryotic large subunit ribosomal RNA
Source: RNAcentral
CAUGGAGGGUGAGAAUCCCGUCCGGUUGAUCAGAUUCGCUUUACGAUACGCUUUCUAAGAGUCAAGUUGUUUGGGAUUGCAGCUUAAAAUGGGAGGUAAAUUUCUCCUAAGGCUAAAUAACGGCGAGAGACCGAUAGCGAACAAGUACCGUGAGGGAAAGAUGAAAAGAACUUUGAAAAGAGAGUUAAAUAGUACGUGAAAUUGUUGAAAGGGAAACGAUUGAAGCCAGUCGUACCUAUGGGUAAUCAGCCUUUUGGGUGUGAUUUUGUGGAGCGUGAGGAGUUAAACGCCUUCAUGCCUGUAUAUUCGUGCACUUUGGGUGUACUUGCCCGUAUGGUUGGUUAACAUCAAUUUUGGUGGUCAUAAAAUGACUGGAGGAAUGUAGCUUCGAUCUCGUAUUGAAGUGUUAUAGCCUUCGGUAGAUGUGAUGAUCAAGAUUGAGGAUUGCAACGGAUACCCUUCGGGGCUACCUGUCUGAUCUCUGAUCGUUGCUCUGGUACCGAAAGCUUGCUUACGGUUAUCAAAGUCGAUGGUCAAAAGGUUAGAACGGGUUAAAUUCGUUAAGGAUGUUGACGUAAUGG